GACCACAGAGCUGAUAAAAGUACAACAGGUUCGAUCGGUUUGUGUGUCCAAGGCAGGAGCAACACGAACCGAUUCCGGUCACGAACAUCGCGAUUCCAGA
Long non-coding RNA from Poecilia latipinna (sailfin molly), 100 nucleotides. RefSeq lists it as uncharacterized. The transcript has 2 exons. The record is from RefSeq and is a predicted model, not a curated record. Lineage: Eukaryota; Metazoa; Chordata; Actinopteri; Cyprinodontiformes; Poeciliidae.